Molecule: small nuclear RNA, 164 nt
Organism: Eptesicus fuscus (big brown bat)
Lineage: Eukaryota; Metazoa; Chordata; Mammalia; Chiroptera; Vespertilionidae
Product: U1 spliceosomal RNA
Exons: 1
Source: RefSeq, a predicted model, not a curated record
AUACUUACCUGACAGGGGAGAUACCAUGAUCAUGAAGGUGGUUUUCCCAGGGCGAGGCUUAUCCAUUUCACUCCAGAUAUGCUGACCCCUUUGAUUUCCCCAAAUGCGUGAAACUCGACUGCAUAAUUUGUGGCAGUGGGGGACUAUGUUCGCGCAGUCCCCUA